This 275-nucleotide ribosomal RNA is filed under the name uncultured bacterium. RNAcentral's name for it is "partial 16S ribosomal RNA". It matches the Rfam family "Bacterial small subunit ribosomal RNA", at positions 338 to 610 of the family's 1533-position model. The record is from RNAcentral.
CCUACGGGUGGCUGCAGUAAGGAAUAUUGGACAAUGGGCGGAAGCCUGAUCCAGCCAUGCCGCGUGAAGGAUGAAGGCGCUCAGCGUUGUAAACUUCUUUUGAGUGGGAACAAAAACCUCGAUGAAUCGGGGCCUGAGGGUACCACUAGAAUAAGCACCGGCUAACUCCGUGCCAGCAGCCGCGGUAAUACGGAGGGUGCGAGCGUUAUCCGGAAUCACUGGGUUUAAAGGGUGCGUAGGCGGUUGAAUAAGUCAGUCGUGAAAUUCCCCGGCUU